This 254-nucleotide ribosomal RNA is filed under the name uncultured bacterium. RNAcentral describes it as "partial 16S ribosomal RNA". It matches the Rfam family "Bacterial small subunit ribosomal RNA", at positions 524 to 776 of the family's 1533-position model. The record is from RNAcentral.
CACGUAGGCACCAAGCGUUGUCCGGAUUUAUUGGGCGUAAAGAGCUCGUAGGCGGUUCGAUAAGUCGGGUGUGAAAACUUUGGGCUCAACCCAAAGCGUGCAUUCGAUACUGUUGUGACUAGAGUUCGGUAGGGGAGUGGGGAAUUCCUAGUGUAGCGGUGAAAUGCGCAGACAUUAGGAGGAACACCGGUGGCGAAGGCGCCACUCUGGGCCGAAACUGACGCUGAGGAGCGAAAGCGUGGGUAGCAAACAGG